GAUGAACGCUGGCGGCGUGCCUAAUACAUGCAAGUCGAGCGAACAGACGAGGAGCUUGCUCCUCUGACGUUAGCGGCGGACGGGUGAGUAACACGUGGAUAACCUACCUAUAAGACUGGGAUAACUUCGGGAAACCGGAGCUAAUACCGGAUAAUAUAUUGAACCGCAUGGUUCAAUAGUGAAAGACGGUUUUGCUGUCACUUAUAGAUGGAUCCGCGCCGCAUUAGCUAGUUGGUAAGGUAACGGCUUACCAAGGCAACGAUGCGUAGCCGACCUGAGAGGGUGAUCGGCCACACUGGAACUGAGACACGGUCCAGACUCCUACGGGAGGCAGCAGUAGGGCAUCUUCCGCAAUGGGCGAAAGCCUGACGGAGCAACGCCGCGUGAGUGAUGACGGUCUUCGGAUCGUAAAACUCUGUUAUUAGGGAAGAACAAAUGUGUAAGUAACUAUGCACGUCUUGACGGUACCUAAUCAGAAAGCCACGGCUAACUACGUG
RNAcentral lists this ribosomal RNA (497 nucleotides) under uncultured bacterium. RNAcentral's name for it is "partial 16S ribosomal RNA". It matches the Rfam family "Bacterial small subunit ribosomal RNA", at positions 28 to 507 of the family's 1533-position model. The record is from RNAcentral.